Molecule: ribosomal RNA, 448 nt
Filed under: uncultured bacterium
Lineage: Bacteria
Description: bacterial SSU rRNA
Rfam family: Bacterial small subunit ribosomal RNA
Source: RNAcentral
AUUGAACGCUGGCGGCAUGCUUUACACAUGCAAGUCGAACGGUAACAGGUCUUCGGAUGCUGACGAGUGGCGAACGGGUGAGUAAUGUAUCGGAACGUGCCCAGUAGUGGGGGAUAACUACUCGAAAGAGUGGCUAAUACCGCAUGAGAACUGAGGUUGAAAGCGGGGGGACCUUCGGGCCUCGCGCUACUGGAGCGGCCGAUAUCAGAUUAGGUAGUUGGUGGGGUAAAGGCCUACCAAGCCGACGAUCUGUAGCUGGUCUGAGAGGACGACCAGCCACACUGGGACUGAGACACGGCCCAGACUCCUACGGGAGGCAGCAGUGGGGAAUUUUGGACAAUGGACGCAAGUCUGAUCCAGCAAUGCCGCGUGCAGGACGAAGGCCUCGGUGUAACUGCUUUGUACUAGACGAAAGGACUCUGUUAGUACCUGGGCGUCAUGACGGUAC